RNAcentral lists this ribosomal RNA (492 nucleotides) under uncultured bacterium. Its description in RNAcentral is "partial 16S ribosomal RNA". It matches the Rfam family "Bacterial small subunit ribosomal RNA", at positions 29 to 507 of the family's 1533-position model. The record is from RNAcentral.
AGUGAACGCUGGCGGUAGGCCUAGCACAUGCAAGUCGAACGGCAGCACAGUAAGAGCUUGCUCUUACGGGUGGCGAGUGGCGGACGGGUGAGGAAUACAUCGGAAUCUACUUUUUCGUGGGGGAUAACGUAGGGAAACUUACGCUAAUACCGCAUACGACCUACGGGUGAAAGCAGGGGAUCUUCGGACCUUGCGCGAUUGAAUGAGCCGAUGUCGGAUUAGCUAGUUGGCGGGGUAAAGGCCCACCAAGGCGACGAUCCGUAGCUGGUCUGAGAGGAUGAUCGGCCACACUGGAACUGAGACACGGUCCAGACUCCUACGGGAGGCAGCAGUGGGGAAUAUUGGACAAUGGGCGCAAGCCUGAUCCAGCCAUACCGCGUGGGUGAAGAAGGCCUUCGGGUUGUAAAGCCCUUUUGUUGGGAAAGAAAAGCAGCAGGUUAAUACCCCGCUGUUCUGACGGUACCCAAAGAAUAAGCACCGGCUAACUUCGUG